Non-coding RNA from Sturnus vulgaris (Common starling), 413 nucleotides. The record is from RefSeq and is a predicted model, not a curated record. Lineage: Eukaryota; Metazoa; Chordata; Aves; Passeriformes; Sturnidae.
AGCACGGCCGGGCGGUCCCGCCGCGGGCCCGGCAUGAUUGCCCAGAUGAAGUUAAACCCCAGAAUUCAGCAGACCCGGAUGAAUCCCCGGGAACAAACCCUGCUCCGUGGCUGCCAGCUCCUUGGACACUCCUGGAAUCACUUCAAACUCAAAGAGAAACUUUUGACAAACACUCCCUCAAAAACUGGCUGAUACUUGCUUGGCCUCUAAUCCUUGCUGAGCUGUUUCCCCGUUGCUAAUCUCUCCCAGGAACCAUUAAUAAAUCUUUGCUGGUUUGCAACGCUAAUUCUGGACAAAGGCACCAGGAACCAGCAGUGCCUGGGCCUGUGUCCCUGUUGUUUGCAUGCUCUGCAGGAAGAUUGUUUGGCUUUUAAUGAAGUUAAUUAAAAAGAAACAAAAAAAUAAUAAAUCAA